AUUGAACGCUGGCGGCAUGCCUUACACAUGCAAGUCGAACGGCAGCACGGGAGCAAUCCUGGUGGCGAGUGGCGAACGGGUGAGUAAUAUAUCGGAACGUGCCCAGUCGUGGGGAUAACGUAGCGAAAGCUACGCUAAUACCGCAUACGAUCUAUGGAUGAAAGCGGGGGAUCGCAAGACCUCGCGCGAUUGGAGCGGCCGAUAUCAGAUUAGGUAGUUGGUGAGGUAAAGGCUCACCAAGCCGACGAUCUGUAGCUGGUCUGAGAGGACGACCAGCCACACUGGGACUGAGACACGGCCCAGACUCCUACGGGAGGCAGCAGUGGGGAAUUUUGGACAAUGGCGCAAGCCUGAUCCAGCAAUGCCGCGUGCAGGAUGGAGGCCUUC
RNAcentral lists this ribosomal RNA (387 nucleotides) under uncultured bacterium. Its description in RNAcentral is "bacterial SSU rRNA". It matches the Rfam family "Bacterial small subunit ribosomal RNA", at positions 30 to 419 of the family's 1533-position model. The record is from RNAcentral.